Molecule: ribosomal RNA, 200 nt
Filed under: uncultured prokaryote
Description: partial 16S ribosomal RNA
Rfam family: Bacterial small subunit ribosomal RNA
Source: RNAcentral
ACGUCAAGUCCUCAUGGCCCUUACAUCCUGGGCCACACACGUGCUACAAUGGGUCGCACAGAGGGAAGCCAGGCGGCGACGCCGAGCGGAUCCCGAAAGCGCCUCCCAGUUCGGAUAGGAGUCUGCAACCCGACUCCUUGAAGCCGGAAUCGCUAGUAAUCGCGGAUCAGCAUGCCGCGGUGAAUACGUUCCCGGGCCUU